AGGACGAACGCUGGCGGCGUGCUUAACACAUGCAAGUCGAACGGUGACCUCCUCUUCGGAGGGGUGAUCAGUGGCGAACGGGUGAGUAACACGUGAGCAACCUGCCCUUGACUCUGGAAUAACCCCGGGAAACCGAGGCUAAUACCGGAUACGACCUCUAGUGGCAUCACAUGAGGUGGAAAGUUUUCGGUCAAGGAUGGGCUCGCGGCCUAUCAGCUAGUUGGUGGGGUAAUGGCCUACCAAGGCGACAACGGGUAGCCGGCCUGAGAGGGCGACCGGCCACACUGGGACUGAGACACGGCCCAGACUCCUACGGGAGGCAGCAGUGGGGAAUAUUGCGCAAUGGGCGAAAGCCUGACGCAGCGACGCCGCGUGAGGGAUGACGGCCUUCGGUUGUAAACCUCUUCGGCAGGGAUGAAGCCUUCGGGUGACAGUACCUGCAAAAGAAGCACCGGCUAACUACGUGCCAGCAGCCGCGGUAA
RNAcentral lists this ribosomal RNA (482 nucleotides) under uncultured bacterium. Its description in RNAcentral is "SSU rRNA". It matches the Rfam family "Bacterial small subunit ribosomal RNA", at positions 26 to 523 of the family's 1533-position model. The record is from RNAcentral.